Molecule: ribosomal RNA, 490 nt
Filed under: uncultured bacterium
Lineage: Bacteria
Description: partial 16S ribosomal RNA
Rfam family: Bacterial small subunit ribosomal RNA
Source: RNAcentral
GAUGAACGCUAGCUACAGGCUUAACACAUGCAAGUCGCAGGGUAACAUGAGGAAAGCUUGCUUUCCUUGAUGACGACUGGCGCACGGGUGAGUAACGCGUAUCCAACCUUCCCAUAACUACGGGAUAACCCGUUGAAAGACGGCCUAAUACCGUAUGAUAUCGUUUGCUGACAUCAAAUAACGAUUAAAGGUUUAGCGGUUAUGGAUGGGGAUGCGUCUGAUUAGCUUGUUGGCGGGGUAACGGCCCACCAAGGCGACGAUCAGUAGGGGUUCUGAGAGGAAGGUCCCCCACAUUGGAACCGAGACACGGUCCAAACUCCUACGGGAGGCAGCAGUGAGGAAUAUUGGUCAAUGGGCGAGAGCCUGAACCAGCCAAGUAGCGUGCAGGACGACGGCCCUAUGGGUUGUAAACUGCUUUUAUGUGGGGAUAAAGUGCGUGACGGGUCAUGCAUUGCAGGUACCACAUGAAUAAGGACCGGCUAAUUCCGUG